Pelodiscus sinensis (Chinese soft-shelled turtle) is the source of this 1450-nucleotide non-coding RNA. NCBI's taxonomy places the organism in Eukaryota, Metazoa, Chordata, Testudines, Trionychidae. The record is from RefSeq and is a predicted model, not a curated record.
UUUUGCUUCAACUACCCCAGACUAACACGGCUACAUUUCUAUCACUAUUCUACAGGGGAGAGAAUGACGCCAGCAGAGCUAGGAAGGGCUGUCUACCCACCUUAGGCCUAGAGGCCAAUGUUUAUCUUUUCUCUGCCUUAGUUUGCUUGCUGCUCUGCCCUGCCCAGAUGGCCAGAGCCUACUAGACUGUCUGGCAUUUGGCUCUGCCAGGAGGCCAGGGCCUCAGACUGCUUCCUGAUCUGCCUGACCCGCAGCCCAGCAGGUCCGAGUCUUCAGAGUGCUAGUUCCCUUUAAGCUUCCUUGGACAGGCAUGCAGUAGUGCGGAAGCAUGGCUUCCCUCCGCAGCUAACGGGGAGGGAUGGUCACGGAUCCUUACAGAAAGCAAAGGGAUUUCCUAACUCCAAUGACCUCACUAUUAAAGCCCUUGAGAGUUAAAAGAGCUUUGAAAACAAGCACAAAGCAAAUUCCAUCUCCUGCUCUGAGCUGGACAAACUCCCAUCUGGGGCCAUGUCCAGGUUCCUCUUGCCCUCUCCUUUCUCUGCACUUCUGGAUUACACACGGCCCCCUCCCCCCAUCCAAUGCUCCCUAGAGCCAGUCACUAAGAGACAUUCAGAGUUGGCAGCUGCAGCUCGCUGUGUCCUGGAUGGUCCUUCACCAAGGGUCAAGCUCUUUCCAGUCCGGGGCAUUUCUAUGGGUUGCAGGAUAAUAGAAGGCUUCGUGGCAGUUGUGUCAGAUGGAAUGUUGGCUUCAUGGAGGUUCCAUGGCAGUUGGAACAUUGGCUUCACGGAGGUUCCAUGGCAGUUGGAACGUUGGCUUCAUGGAGAUUCCAUGGCAGUUGGAACGUUGGCUUCACGGAGAUUCCAUGGCAGUUGUGGCAGAUGGAAUGUUGGGCUUAUGAAGAUUGAAGCUAGAAUGUUCUGUGGGAAAUGGGAUCUGAGUGGGAGCAAUGGGUAAGGGCUCCCUGCUGUGAUCAUUUCUAAGGAGCUGGUUCUGCCCCAGCAGUCCAAUGGCACUCAGCACAGCUGGAGAAGCAUGCCCAAUUCUGGGCACCAAGCUCUGCAAAAGAUGUGGACAAACUGGAGAGUCCGGAGGCAAGGAACAAAACAAUGAAAGGGUUAGAGAACUCAUGAAGGAAGGAUAAAAAAUAGGGUGUGAUUAGUCUUGAAAAAAGAAAAUUGAAGGGGAACCCCCAAGCAGUUUUCAAAUGCAUUAAGGGUUGUUGUCAUGGGGACAGCGAUCAGUCGUUUACCGUGCCCAACGAAGCUCAGAGUCACAUCCGGCUGCGGAUGGGGGUGUAGGGCCCGGUGACUCUCCACACUCCGUGACACGGAUGGUCAGUCUCUGGGGGAUGGACAUGCUAUUGAGAAGCCCAAAGCCAUUUUCCACCCCUCGGAGGUCUCUCUGCUGCUGUACCACCUUGUUGGCCUCACCCCGUUCCAGGAUCUGUGAC